AUGGGAGUAUAACAUGAAAUUGUUGUACUUUAAAGAAAUGGACAGUGAGAAGGAAGGAGUAAAGUUGGAUUGACUUGGUUUCAUGUUGAGCUUAUUUGAUAUGGAAGGGAGUUGAAACGAUAGAGAUUGUGUCUUGUAGUUGACUAUCUCUAAGUGAAGAGGAAGUGAAGGAAAAUGCUUUUCACUUCUUGGAUUUAAGUAAACAACUGGCUAAGAGAAUGGUUAGUAAAGCUUAGUAUGAAGUGGGUAUUGAUAUGUUCAUUCCAUUUCAUUGAAUAGGAUUUUUUGAAGUGCAAAAAGAAACAAAGGUUGAGCUUGGAGGCAAUGACGAAGAUGAGGCUGCAGAGUAAGACACUAUUCUGGAAGGAGAGACGGAUGCUUAGUAGUAGCCUUGGGUUGGGUCUCUGAAUGAAGUUUAGUUUUUGGUUGAUUUUGUGAAACUGUUUGGUCUAUGUAUUUUGAGAAGGAAAGCAUUUUGUAAACUUGGUAGAUGUUCCUACCAUGAAAGUAGUUAUGGUUUUUAAUAUGUAGCUAAUGGGAUAGUCUUAUAUUUUGACAAACAUGUUAUUUUGAGUCUUGAAGUUAUAAAAGAAAAAUGAGAAA
Long non-coding RNA from Juglans microcarpa x Juglans regia, 603 nucleotides. RefSeq lists it as uncharacterized. NCBI's taxonomy places the organism in Eukaryota, Viridiplantae, Streptophyta, Magnoliopsida, Fagales, Juglandaceae. The transcript is spliced from 2 exons. The record is from RefSeq and is a predicted model, not a curated record.